RNAcentral lists this ribosomal RNA (257 nucleotides) under uncultured bacterium. RNAcentral's name for it is "partial 16S ribosomal RNA". It matches the Rfam family "Bacterial small subunit ribosomal RNA", at positions 524 to 777 of the family's 1533-position model. The record is from RNAcentral.
UACGUAGGCAGCAAGCGUUGUUCGGAAUUACUGGGCGUAAAGAGUGUGUAGGCGGUGCUCUAAGUUCGGUGUGAAAUCUCCCGGCUUAACUGGGAGGGUGCGCCGGAAACUGGAGUGCUUGAGCGCGGGAGAGGAAAGCGGAAUUCCUGGUGUAGCGGUGAAAUGCGUAGAUAUCAGGAGGAACACCUGUGGUGUAGACGGCUUUCUGGACCGUAGCUGACGCUGAGCACGACGAAAGCGUGGGGUAGCAAAGCAGG